UAAGGAAUAUUGGUCAAUGGGCGGAAGCCUGAACCAGCCAUGCCGCGUGCAGGAAGACGGCCCUACGGGUUGUAAACUGCUUUUAUACCGGAAUAAACCUUGAUACGUGUAUCGAGCUGAAUGUACGGUAAGAAUAAGGAUCGGCUAACUCCGUGCCAGCAGCCGCGGUAAUACGGAGGAUCCAAGCGUUAUCCGGAUUUAUUGGGUUUAAAGGGUGCGUAGGUGGUUCUUUAAGUCAGGGGUGAAAGACGGUAGCUUAACUAUCGCAGUGCCUUUGAUACUGAAGAACUUGAAUACACUAGAGGUAGGCGGAAUGUGACAAGUAGCGGUGAAAUGCAUAGAUAUGUCACAGAACACCAAUUGCGAAGGCAGCUUACUAUGGUGUCAUUGACACUGAGGCACGAAAGCGUGGGGAUCAAACAGGAUUAGAUACCCCCGUAGUCC
Molecule: ribosomal RNA, 444 nt
Filed under: uncultured bacterium
Lineage: Bacteria
Description: bacterial SSU rRNA
Rfam family: Bacterial small subunit ribosomal RNA
Source: RNAcentral